This is a long non-coding RNA of Acinonyx jubatus (cheetah), 2242 nucleotides long. RefSeq lists it as uncharacterized. Lineage: Eukaryota; Metazoa; Chordata; Mammalia; Carnivora; Felidae. The record is from RefSeq and is a predicted model, not a curated record. The transcript has 3 exons.
CUGACACACAGCUCUCCCACCAGGAGGCCUGGCUUCUAGUUCUGACUCAGGCUUCCCUGUGUGACGUUGGGCAAGUUGCUGGGUCUUUCUGGGCUGUACUUACCUGGGGAGCAAAAUGGGAAUCAUGGUCCCUGUCUGUCCUUCCUCCUGCGGUUAGCACACUUGACCCAACCUGUCUGAAAACCCAUCUGAUGGGUCCCCAGCACAGAGAUGUCACCGGCUUUGGCCCGAGAUGAGAGUUGUCUCAAGGGUCAGCCAGGCCUUAUCACUUACCAAGUGUCCUGGGCCCACUCCUGGGCCCCUACAUCCCCAGUCCUUCACCCCUUUGGGAUACCAUGAACAAAAAGCCUGCCUCGAUUUCCCUAUCCGUAACAAAAGAAAAGAGCUCAAUGGGCUGUGCUGGGAUUGUGGGGUGGGGCCAGAGGCUGGAUUCUGUCUGAGCCUUUUGGGAAGCAGCAGGGUGGAGAGAAGUUAGCUAGACCACACCCCCAGCUCUGCCACUUUCUAACUCUGUGACCUGCUAUGAAGCUUGAGCUUCAAGGCCCUCCUGAACUGACCCUUCCCAAAGCCCCAUUAUUUCAGAUUUAUAAUUGUAUGUACUUUUCCUUACAAGGUGGCCCUCAAAGUGUAUAAUCUCCAAGCUCCAUGAAACCAGGAUCUGCCUUGGGAUGCAGGUAUCAAGGAAACUGCCAGUCCUGACGCUUGUUUGCUGUUUGCUGUGUGACGCUGCUUCACUGACUUAACCUCUCUGAACAACCACUUCCUUGUUCUGCUGUCAUAUCUUCCCAUUGUGAGGCUCAUCUUAGACAAUCUGUGAGCCAGCCAGAAUUCUAACACGCUUUCUGAGUGCCCUGUGGGGAAGUCCAAACCCAGUGGCACCAGGUGACAGGAGAGAAUGAGGAGCUUGGGACAAGGGCUGCCGGAGAAAGUGACAUGUGAGCUAAACCCGGCAAGUCGCGUCUAAUGUGGUCACCAGGUGCUGAAGGGACGAUCACUAGCAGAGAGAAGAGCAUGCUAAGACCUGGAGGGGGGGUGUGUGUGUAUAGGUGUUUGUGUAGGAGGGUGCAUGUUGUGGGUUGGAAGGACUUGCUGGUUGUCUGUCUACCUAGAGCCUCAGGCUCUCUGUGCUCUCACCCUUCCCCACCCCAGAGGGCACACAGGAGAUGCUCGAUCCAUAUUUCCAUGGUUCUGUUGAUGAUUGAUGUGUGCCUGGAUAAGAAGGCAGGGAGAGUGUUUCAGGAUGGAAACACAGCCCGGGCAAAGAUGCAGAACCAUGGUGGAGUUUAGAGAACAGAAGCUUCUCUGUGGUUGGAAUAUGGGUUUGUGGGGGCAGGAUGGAGAGCAGAUGACCCCACUUGCAAGGUGUAAAACAGCAUGGCCUGGGCUGUUCGCCCACGAGAUACUCCUGGAGCCAGUGAGGUCUGUGUGAGAGAGACCCUCGGUGCCCUCUGCAGGGACAGCAGAGGGCUUUGGACAGAAUCAGGUUGCAGGAUUGCUGGGGCCGAGCUGGUGGGAAGGUACAGUAAGACAGGACAGACUGGCCUCCCCUACAGCCCUAUUCAGGUUAUGGCUUCUCCACUCCCACUCAGCCAACCCGCCACCUGCUUAGGGCAAGGUGAGGAGCAGUCUGGAGGCACAGGGAUAGACAAAAGGUUUCAGAUACUCAGGACAAUACCAGAAUUCAGUCUCAACCGGCAGGUGGCCUCUCCUGUGGCCUGGGGCUAUGGAGGAGUCACCGAGGGAGCAGACCUGGGACUCCUGCAGAGGGAAGACAUUCUGUUUGUGUAUAAUCUACAUCCCAAUUUACCCUCUCCACAGCUCUCCAGACCAAGCUGUGAUUUGGGCUCAGGGCAGUGAAGUCACUCACCCAGGGUCAUACAGCUUGUGAGUAACUAAGAGAGAACCCAGAUUCAUAUUCGAGGCCGUCUGUGCUCUCUGUGAUGUGGUGUUUGGAGUGGUGGGGAUCUGGAGCCGACGGCCAAGAAAGAAUUAUUGAGACGUCUUUGGUGGAAAAAGGUGGUUUUAUUAAAGCCCGGGGAUAGGUCCCGCGGGCAGCAGAUUAUAAGCAAAUUCAAUUUUACCUGCCAUUUCCUUCUUGCCUUUGUUCCGCACAUCACUACGGAGGGGAGGGUGGUGUUGGGGCUAGAGGCUUCUGGAGAUUAAGCUAUUGAUAAGAUUGCCUUUUUCUUGUCAUUUACUAAGCUAUUUGUAAACGGAUGGAGACUCAGUUCCUGUGAUCGCU